RNAcentral lists this ribosomal RNA (253 nucleotides) under uncultured bacterium. RNAcentral's name for it is "partial 16S ribosomal RNA". It matches the Rfam family "Bacterial small subunit ribosomal RNA", at positions 524 to 776 of the family's 1533-position model. The record is from RNAcentral.
UACAGAGGUCCCAAGCGUUGUUCGGAUUCACUGGGCGUAAAGGGUGCGUAGGUGGUGAGGUAAGUCUGAUGUGAAAUCCCGCAGCUCAACUGCGGAACUGCAUCGGAUACUAUCUUGCUAGAGGGUUUGAGGGGGGACUGGAAUUCUCGGUGUAGCAGUGAAAUGCGUAGAUAUCGAGAGGAACACCAGUGGCGAAGGCGAGUCCCUGGAAAACUCCUGACACUGAGGCACGAAAGCGUGGGGAGCGAACAGG